Molecule: non-coding RNA, 26 nt
Filed under: Mus musculus (house mouse)
Lineage: Eukaryota; Metazoa; Chordata; Mammalia; Rodentia; Muridae
Source: RNAcentral
UGGAAGAGUCCUUAGAGCCUGUCUAC